RNAcentral lists this long non-coding RNA (916 nucleotides) under Physcomitrium patens. Its description in RNAcentral is "long non-coding RNA (PPAT_LNC006336)". The record is from RNAcentral. Lineage: Eukaryota; Viridiplantae; Streptophyta; Bryopsida; Funariales; Funariaceae.
UCAGAUAUACUGACUGGCAUGCAACCAUGGCUUAAUCUAACUUUGUUGAUACUUCUUUUUUAACUUACGUUCUUGCUCAUAUUGCAACAAUUUUCUUGCUUGUGCUCUCUCUUCUCUUUCUUUCGACUUGUAUGUUCUCUUUACUCCAAUGUUCUCAUUUUUAAUAACCAUAAUUUUUCAUUAUAUAUUGUUAAAUUUGCUUCCUAUCUCCCAUCUAACUACAUAAUUCUCUUAACUUUUGAAUCAAUUUCAAUUUUAUAAUCUCUUUGUACAACAUCCAAAACUACUCAUUCAGCAAUUAAUUCCUAACACUCAAUACUAUUGUCGUAUCUCGGUAGUGGUGCCAAAAUGUGGUAUUUGUUUUACUUAUUUUACAAAUUAUUUUUAGAAUAAACCCGUUGUCGUAUUACGUGAAGUCUUGCUUGAAAAUGCACUGGGCACCUGGUUGUGGAAGGUAAAGAAAAUUGUAACAAAAGGUCCUAACGAUCCAAUAGGAUUAUAAAGAAAUUACAAUUAAACAUUAACAAUCAUAAUCAAAUAUUAAGCAAGUUCAAUUAAAUUUUUAUUGAAGUUAUAAAAAAAACACAAUGAAAUCUUAAAGAAAUAUAAAAGAAUAUUAAAGAAAACUUAGUCAAACCCUAACAAAAAUCUAAAUAAACUUUAAAUUCUAACCAAACCUUAAUCUUAAUCUAAUCUUAAUCAAAUCCUAGACAAACCCUAAACCCUAAACAUACCCUAGUCAAAUCUUAGAUAAAUCCUAACCCUAACAAAUCUUAAUCAAUUCCAAACCCUAAACAAACUCUAGUCAAAUCCUAAACAAACCCUAGUCAAAUCCUAGUCAAACCCUAACUCUAAAUCUUAACCAAAUCCUAAUCCUAAUCCUAAACUCUAAUCAAAUCCUAAUCAAAUCCUAAUC